Pyrus x bretschneideri (Chinese white pear) is the source of this 1856-nucleotide RNA transcript. RefSeq lists it as uncharacterized. Lineage: Eukaryota; Viridiplantae; Streptophyta; Magnoliopsida; Rosales; Rosaceae. The transcript has 5 exons. The record is from RefSeq and is a predicted model, not a curated record.
UCUUAGUUGGACGUUAAUCACUAUAUUUUCAUUCAUUUAUUUGGGAUGUGGUGGCAAUGUUGAUGCCAUUGCUAUCAAUCCCAGGAUUUUUCGUUUAUAACACUUAGAUUUAUUUUAAUCUAUUAGUUUAUAAAGUUUCUAUGUAAAGAAGUGUUUGUGGUUUCAGACAGCCAGUGGGGGAACCGUCUUUACCAAAUAAAAGAAUCCAGUUUUGUAUUUUCAACGUCUUAAUCCUUUUCCUUUGUUAACUCUUCGUUUUGAUUUUGUACCGAACUAGAUAUUGCAUCUUUAUCAUGGGUAGAUUUUUAAAUACAAUAUUAGUGACACAAUACCAUCUACAAAUGAAUGGUUUCUUAUAGCAUGUAUAUUCAUAUAGUGCCACUUCAUUGGUUCUUAGGUACUAGAACAGGAAGGAUUAAUAAGGAUUCAAUUCGUCCUAGAAUUGGAUUUUGUUUUCCACUUCAUUGCAUUUGAAUAUUAAGCUUUGUCCAUAAUUCGCUAAAAAACAUUGUCUAUUAUGUUUAUGUACGGAUGGUUGAAUUAAAGGUUUUAUUCGAAGAUCUCCUACAAUCUCAACAAUUGCGGUUGGAGGAAACUACCGAAUAAAAUGGUAAUUAAUGUGACAUGGUGAUCAUAUUCGAUUUGUGUUUGUUAUGAGACAGUGGAGAUUUCUAUAUGUUUAUAUCCGCAACACCAGCUCACGAACAAUCCUCGACCCUUCAUCCUCGCAGCUCGACUUAGUUUUGAACGAAAAAGCUCCUCCAGGAAUCAAUUUUCUCCCCCUCUUCCUUGCUGCUCAACAUAGGAAGGUUAGUUUGUGACUGAGAAACUUGAAUAAAACUGUAAUUUUGUAUUACUAAAGCAUCUGCAUUGUUUUUUCGGUCAAGCAUGUUGGUUAUUUGUUCUCAGAAAUGCAACUUUUACUAAGUAUUCUAUGUUGCUGCACGGGGAUCAUAUAUGCUACCAACCUAAACUAAACUAAUAUAAACUGAGAUAAUGCAUUUUCUGACUUUGGUAAAUUGUCACAUCAUCCUAGGACAUAGUUUUUGGUGCCAAAAAACGUGGGUUGCAGAGCUACAACGAGGGAGAUGGGCAUGGAUUGGCGGGGAGGGGAAGGGUGAGGGAGGAGUGAGGCUUGCGAAAAGGGUGGUUGGAUUGAUUUUUCCUCCUCAAAUCAAGGGUUGGUGUCGGGAUUGAGGGGUGGGUCGAAAGUGGGUAUGGUUGUGAGGGAGAGAGGGAUGGCAGAGACAGAGGUCAUGGAGUUGGGCAUGGGAAUUCCACAAACCAAGGGCUGCUGUCAGUGGGUGUUAAUAUCAGCAAUAAGCAUUACUGGGAUUUCACCCAAGAAAAAAGAAUGUGGAUGUUGUCUCUGGAAUCCUAUCAUCAUCUUCCUCGCAUGCAACGCUCUGGCCCUUUCAGUUGAAACCAAAACGUGUUCCAGCUAUGAGGAAGAGCAAGAAAAAGGAAGAACCAAUAUUAGAAGAUCUUCCCAAAGAGUACUACGAUGAUUCUAAGCCAUGAAGGAUUUGAUCAACCCACAAUUGAUAACAAUGUGCGGUGGCACCAACGGUUUUGAACAAGGAACAAGCAAGUACCGUUUUGCUUCAUUGUUCCAAAGUAUUAUGUAGAGAUUGCUUUAAUAUCUUGGCUUCUUGGCUGUAUGUGGGGUGUCCGAGAUAGGAUUUAGGAGAUUUGGUUUAGGGUUUGCAGAGAGAGAGAUAGGGGGUGUUCGAGAGAAAUGUGGGAGGAUUUAGGCGAGGGAUUUCAGGGAUUUGUUUAGGGUUUCUUUUCUGCGAUUUGCAGACAGAGAGAUGGGACAAGGGUGAGAGAGAGAGAUGGGAGGAUUUUCAGCGAGG